Molecule: ribosomal RNA, 485 nt
Filed under: uncultured bacterium
Lineage: Bacteria
Description: partial 16S ribosomal RNA
Rfam family: Bacterial small subunit ribosomal RNA
Source: RNAcentral
AUUGAACGCUGGCGGCAUGCCUUACACAUGCAAGUCGAACGGCAGCACGGGUGCUUGCACCUGGUGGCGAGUGGCGAACGGGUGAGUAAUACAUCGGAACAUGUCCUGUAGUGGGGGAUAGCCCGGCGAAAGCCGGAUUAAUACCGCAUACGAUCUACGGAUGAAAGCGGGGGACCUUCGGGCCUCGCGCUAUAGGGUUGGCCGAUGGCUGAUUAGCUAGUUGGUGGGGUGAAGGCCUACCAAGGCGACGAUCAGUAGCUGGUCUGAGAGGACGACCAGCCACACUGGGACUGAGACACGGCCCAGACUCCUACGGGAGGCAGCAGUGGGGAAUUUUGGACAAUGGGCGAAAGCCUGAUCCAGCAAUGCCGCGUGUGUGAAGAAGGCCUUCGGGUUGUAAAGCACUUUUGUCCGGAAAGAAAUCCUUGGCCCUAAUACGGUCGGGGGAUGACGGUACCGGAAGAAUAAGCACCGGCUAACUACGU